AGUAAUAUAAGCUAAAUAAGCUUUUGGGCCCAUACCCCAAAAAUGUUGGUUUAAACCCCCCUAUUACUA
Molecule: transfer RNA, 69 nt
Filed under: Plethodon shenandoah (Shenandoah salamander)
Lineage: Eukaryota; Metazoa; Chordata; Amphibia; Caudata; Plethodontidae
Description: tRNA-Met
Rfam family: tRNA
About the family: Transfer RNA (tRNA) molecules are approximately 80 nucleotides in length. Their secondary structure includes four short double-helical elements and three loops (D, anti-codon, and T loops).
Source: RNAcentral